GAUUAACGCUGGCGGCGUGCAUAACACAUGCAAGUCGAACGAUGAAACUUAACUGAUUUCUUCGGAAUGAUUUUAAGUGGAUUAGUGGCGGACGGGUGAGUAACGCGUGAGUAACCUGCCUUGGAGAAGGGGAUAGCCUUUGGAAACGAAGAAUAAUACCCUAUGAUAUGAUAAUAUCUCAUGAAAUUAUCAUCAAAGAUUUAUCGCUCUAAGAUGGACUUGCGUCUGAUUAGUUAGUUGGUGAGGUAACAGCUCACCAAGGCAGCGAUCAGUAGCCGGCUUUGAAGAGUGGAAGGGCAAAAUGGGAACGAGACAAGGCCCAGAACCCCACGGGAGGGAGGAGUGGGGAAAUUUGCAAAAAGGGGGAAACCCUGAUGCAGCGACGCCGCGUGAUUUAGAAGGCCUUCGGGUUGUAAAAAUCUUUUGUAUGGGAAGAAAAUGACAGUACCAUACGAAUAAGGACCGGCUAAUUACGUG
Molecule: ribosomal RNA, 477 nt
Filed under: uncultured bacterium
Lineage: Bacteria
Description: partial 16S ribosomal RNA
Rfam family: Bacterial small subunit ribosomal RNA
Source: RNAcentral